CUUUAAAGCUCCGUUGAAGGAGGCCAUAGCUCGCGUCGCGUACGUUGGGUGGAGAGAGCAAGAGAGGCGUGUGCGUUGGAGAACGUGGCGUGCGGUUGCGUCGGCGGCGGAGAAGAGAAGGUAGCAGCAGCAGCGGAGCAGCCUAGACCCCUCUUUCUCUCACGCUCAGAGGAUGGAAGCGGCGCAGGCGCAGGCGUAGUGAGAAGGCGCGGGACCGCGGCGGCGCAGGCGGUGAAGAGGAGCGGAACAGCAGGGGCAGGGAGAGAGUAUCGGCUCGAGGUCGGGAGGUGGUAGGGGAGGAGGAACUGGCGGAGAGGGGAGCAGACUUCCUCGUGCCCCGACCGUCGACGCGGACUCGGCGGUGUUCCGGCAGUCCAUCUCUUCUAAACCACGGUGACCGGCAAGGGUGGCGACAGGCUCAGGCUGCAGAGCCUCAACGGUCUCAGCGGCAGCGGUAUGCUUCUGCUCAGCCGCCCCUCUACGACCACAACCCUAAGCCCUCCCAGGUUAGACGUCGUUUAGGAACCCUCUAUACUGCCACAUAAAACCUUACGAGCUGCCGAACGACCGACGUCUUCUCGAAGGACUCCUUAUGGCCUUGGCUACGGUCCUAUAUGAGACAUUGCUGACGCCUUUUUUCCCUAAAGAGCCAAGGUGACCGACAUAGUGUUUACGCGGCGGACACCGAGCAUGUUGUGGUCUCAAUAGUUCUGGCUCCGUGGUCUAACAAGGUACAGCUUAAUUGUCCAGGCGGCUGCUCCUACACCUACUCCUGCUCCAGCUCGGGGAAGGGCCGCGCUAGAGGAAAACCUCCGAUAAGUUGAAGCAGCUACCGGAGCUGACCCGUGAGUACCGGCGACCGUGUCAGCGGCGGCGGCGGGUGCUACGUCGUAAGCAUCAGAUGUACGUGAUUACCAGGAACUUAAAAGAGCUACGACUCGCCUAAAUCAGACGAGAUGUGCCAGCAUCGCUGCUCGGGGAGUUGGUUAAAUUCGUCCAUUUGGCAACGAAGUGUACGAGCAGAGAAUUAACGUGCGGACUGUCCCGGACGUUGCACUAUAAAUAACGGACUGAGGGUUUCCAUUUAAGUUGUUGUUUACACAAAUCCUAGGACAUUCCUUGGUCUACGGAGAGAGUUAUAGAUAACUUAUGUUCGAAACUAAUGUUCGUUGUGGUUACCUCUAUGUUUCAAACCCCUAGUCCUUCUUGUAUUCCUCCUCCUACUCUCCAUCCCCUUCUCUCGGCGGCACGGUUUCGGCACUAGGUGACCUACUGGUCUUGUUACGGAUGAGGGAGCAUGAACAUGAGACAUCGAAAUCACCAAAGGACUACCCGAUCCGGGUGCAUGGCCAGGUCCCCGUUUGGGUGUACAACCCAUUGCAUCAUUAAAGUUUUUUUUAGGAUGCGUGUGCGUUCUAGUACCACUACGUAUCGUUGCUCUCCCCUCUCACAAAAGAUGCAUGGGAGCAUCUGACCUUCGCCUUCGCAAUCGUGUUGCGCCAACUACAUCAGCAUGCAGAAGUGUCGGGCUGGCUAGUUCGUGGCUUUGAUGCUGUGGAGGCUCAAGAUCGUGUACAAGUCGAGCUACUGCUAGGGGCCUGAGGCUAGGUCGUUUCACAGCCCCUUCUCAAGGCAGUCGUACUGCCGCACCACUGCUAGAACUACAAGAUGGCAGCGUCCCAAAGCGGAUUCGUGGCGAUCUUAUAAUAGCUCCUAAUACCACCUCCCCCCGUGGCGUGUGCCGAUUCUCUUGCUAGUGCUUCUAGUUGAACACAGAGAUACCCCACGGGGGACCGGCGC
This 1800-nucleotide ribosomal RNA is filed under the name Triticum aestivum (bread wheat). RNAcentral describes it as "partial small subunit ribosomal RNA". Lineage: Eukaryota; Viridiplantae; Streptophyta; Magnoliopsida; Poales; Poaceae. The record is from RNAcentral.